This 253-nucleotide ribosomal RNA is filed under the name uncultured bacterium. Its description in RNAcentral is "partial 16S ribosomal RNA". It matches the Rfam family "Bacterial small subunit ribosomal RNA", at positions 524 to 776 of the family's 1533-position model. The record is from RNAcentral.
UACGGAGGGGGCUAGCGUUGUUCGGAAUUACUGGGCGUAAAGCGCGCGUAGGCGGACCUGCAAGUCGGGGGUGAAAGCCCGAGGCUCAACCUCGGAACUGCCUUCGAUACUGCGGGUCUCGAGUCCGGGAGAGGUGAGUGGAAUUCCUAGUGUAGAGGUGAAAUUCGUAGAUAUCAAGAGGAACACCUGAGGUGAAGACGGGUUGCUGGGCCAACACUGACGCUGAGGCGCGAAAGCCAGGGGAGCAAACGGG